Molecule: long non-coding RNA, 346 nt
Filed under: Cyanistes caeruleus (blue tit)
Lineage: Eukaryota; Metazoa; Chordata; Aves; Passeriformes; Paridae
Description: lncRNA (ENSCCEG00000010492.1)
Source: RNAcentral
GUAUGUUUAAGGUCUAUAUGCUGAAAUGAUUUGCUGACCAGUGAUGCAAGAAAAUUGUCUGAACUCUGGAAAGAUUGAAUAAUAGUGUUAGAUGAGUUACAGUUAACAGUGAAGGAGUUGUCACUUGCUUCUUGAAGAACUGAUCCAGAUAUUCUUGUUGAAUAGAUUAGUUGGGAUAAACAAGAACAUCCUUUUAGAAUGAUACCAGUAUUCCAGUGAAAGAGAAGGGACUGUGGAGAGUCAAGGAGGCUGGGGACUACAAAAUUGGCUGGAAAUAAUCACUGAAAUUUUAAUCACUUCACAUGUCCAGUGUUACUGAACAGCAAACAUAAGGCCUAUAAGGUUC